RNAcentral lists this ribosomal RNA (440 nucleotides) under uncultured bacterium. Its description in RNAcentral is "partial 16S ribosomal RNA". It matches the Rfam family "Bacterial small subunit ribosomal RNA", at positions 338 to 795 of the family's 1533-position model. The record is from RNAcentral.
CCUACGUGAGGCAGCAGUGGGGGAUAUUGCACAAUGGGGGAAACCCUGAUGCAGCGACGCCGCGUGUGGGAAGACGGUCCUCUGGAUUGUAAACCACUGUCCCCAGGGACGAAGAUGACGGUACCUGGGGAGGAAGCUCCGGCUAACUACGUGCCAGCAGCCGCGGUAAUACGUAGGGAGCGAGCGUUGUCCGGAAUUACUGGGUGUAAAGGGAGCGUAGGCGGGACUGCAAGUUGGGUGUCAAAUCUACCGGCUCAACCGGUAGCCGCACUCAAAACUGCAGUUCUUGAGUGAAGUAGAGGCAGGCGGAAUUCCUAGGGUAGCGGUGAAAUGCGUAGAUAUUAGGAGGAACACCAGUGGCGAAGGCGGCCUGCUGGGCUUUUACUGACGCUGAGGCUCGAAAGUGUGGGGAGCAAACAGGAUUAGAUACCCCAGUAGUC